CAAAGACACAAGACUCACACAAAGAUAUUUGUUUGCAUUAGCAUUAGGUGUGUGCGUGCAUACAACAAAGAAUGAUUUUGAAGCUUAGGCCCAAUUCUAAACUUACAAAAACCCACACAGAUGUAGCUCAGAGCCCAGUCUCUGGAAGAGAGAGGAGGAUUCCUGGUCACCUGCAAUGACACACUUUAGGAGGGGGCAGGGAGGGGAAGGCAUCCAGUCACAGCUGCUACCUAGCAAGCGGCUCUACUGGAAACCAACAAACUUCAGCCUGACCUCAGCUGGGUGACAACACCCAUCAGUCCCG
RNAcentral lists this long non-coding RNA (304 nucleotides) under Bos taurus (domestic cattle). Its description in RNAcentral is "long non-coding RNA NONBTAT012732". The record is from RNAcentral. Lineage: Eukaryota; Metazoa; Chordata; Mammalia; Artiodactyla; Bovidae.